Molecule: long non-coding RNA, 772 nt
Filed under: Heterocephalus glaber (naked mole-rat)
Lineage: Eukaryota; Metazoa; Chordata; Mammalia; Rodentia; Bathyergidae
Description: lncRNA (ENSHGLG00100036698.1)
Source: RNAcentral
GCCGGAGGCCCAGCAGGACUGGGUGUCCUCUGGAGCCUGGCCCGUGCCCCACCCACCUUGGGUCUGGCUCCCUCCCUUGCUGGAGCCUCCUCGCAGGCGUUGGUGCUGGUCACGGCUGAGGGAAGGAGCACAGGAUGGAUUCUCUCUGGGUGGCCCCGCCACUCCAGGCCACACUGCAGGCCCUGGCCCUCUGGGGUCCUUAUGGUCCUUACCGGCCCCUCCAGCCUGGCUCCUGCUCAGGGAGACAGAAGCCCCAGGCCAAGCAGAGCGUGGAUCAGAUGCCGACAGAUGGAAUGAGGGUUGUCUCCGGCCUGCACAAGCCUUGGAUCCUGCAUCAGGUUUGUCUCCUCCCUCUCCAUCUCUGACAGGUGGGGUGCCCUGGCUGCCUCUAUCCUGCAUGCCCAGGGGUGCUGAGAGGGGAUCUCAGGGCCAGACUGCCCAGCUCCAGUCCCAGCCGAGGCCUUGAACAGCUCUUGACAUCUCUGGCCCUCAGCUUCUGCUUCUGUGCAUGGGGCCGCCCCCCGGUCCCUGUGGGAAGGCUGUGGGUUGCACCGAGGCACACGAAGGGCUCAGCACCUGCAGCGGCUCACAUGUGCCUGUUACCUGCGAGCAGGGCUUGGCUGCAGCAGGCGGUGGAGGACCUCUGUGGUCGAUCUGCCUCCCCUGAGCUCCCCAAAGGCUGGGGGUGUGUCCAUCUUAUUCGUGCUGUGUUGCCACAGCCUGGGCAGAGCCGGUGUCCAGAAGCUGCAGGUUGAAUAAGCCACAAAGCCAC